GGUGAACGCUGGCGGCGUGCCUAACACAUGCAAGUCGAGCGGUGCAGCUGGAGGCUUCGGCCGAAGGCUGCAUAGUGGCGGACGGGUGCGUAACGCGUAGGAACGUGCCCCCUGGAGGCGGAUAGCCGCGGGAAACUGCGGGUAAACCGCCAUAGACUCGGGAGAGUAAAGGCCGUAAGGCGCCAGGGGAGCGGCCUGCGUCCCAUCAGGUAGUUGGUAGGGUAACGGCCUACCAAGCCUACGACGGGUAGCCGGUCUGAGAGGAUGGCCGGCCACAAGGGCACUGAGACACGGGCCCUACUCCUACGGGAGGCAGCAGUGGGGGAUAUUGGACAAUGGGCGAAAGCCUGAUCCAGCGACGCCGCGUGGAGGACGAAGCCCUUCGGGGUGUAAACUCCUUUUGUCGGGGAAAAAGGGCUGAUGGUACCCGACGAAUAAGCCCCGGCUAACUACGUGCCAGCAGCCGCGGUAAUACGUAGGGGGCGAGCGUUACCCGGAACCACUGGGCGUAAAGGGUGCGUAGGCGGCCGCGUGUGUUUGGCGUAAAAUUCCACGGCUCAACUGUGGGUAUGCGCUGGAAACUACGUGGCUUGGGUGCGGCAGAGGCAGACGGAACUGCUGGUGUAGGGGUGAAAUCCGUAGAUAUCAGCAGGAACGCCGGUGGAGAAGUCGGUCUGCUGGGCCGUAACCGACGCUGAGGCACGAAAGCUAGGGGAGCGAACCGGAUUAGAUACCCGGGUAGUCCUAGCCGUAAACGAUGCUCACUAGGUGUGGGGGCGGAAGCCUCCGUGCUGAAGCGAACGCGAUAAGUGAGCCGCCUGGGGAGUACGCCCGCAAGGGUGAAACUCAAAGGAAUUGACGGGGGCCCGCACAAGCGGUGGAGCGUGUGGUUUAAUUGGAAGCUAAGCCAAGAACCUUACCAGGGCUUGACAUGCUGGUGGUACCGAGCCGAAAGGUGAGGGACCCUGCCGUAAGGUAGGGAGCCAGCACAGUGGUGCACGGUCGUCGUCAGCUCGUGCCGUGAGGUGUUGGGUUAAGUCCCGCAACGAGCGCAACCCCUGCCCUUAGUUGCCAGCGGUUCGGCCGGGCACUCUAAGGGGACUGCCG
Molecule: ribosomal RNA, 1107 nt
Filed under: uncultured Fervidobacterium sp.
Lineage: Bacteria; Thermotogati; Thermotogota; Thermotogae; Thermotogales; Fervidobacteriaceae
Description: bacterial SSU rRNA
Rfam family: Bacterial small subunit ribosomal RNA
Source: RNAcentral